UGAGUAACCUGCCCUUAACUCUGGGAUAAGCCUGGGAAACUGGGUCUAAUACCGGAUAUGACUCCUCAUCGCAUGGUGGGGGGUGGAAAGCUUUAUUGUGGUUUUGGAUGGACUCGCGGCCUAUCAGCUUGUUGGUUAGGUAAUGGCUCACCAAGGCGACGACGGGUAGCCGGCCUGAGAGGGUGACCGGCCACACUGGGACUGAGACACGGCCCAGACUCCUACGGGAGGCAG
This 234-nucleotide ribosomal RNA is filed under the name uncultured bacterium. Its description in RNAcentral is "partial 16S ribosomal RNA". It matches the Rfam family "Bacterial small subunit ribosomal RNA", at positions 118 to 351 of the family's 1533-position model. The record is from RNAcentral.